This 1859-nucleotide long non-coding RNA is filed under the name Salvia miltiorrhiza (redroot sage). RNAcentral's name for it is "long non-coding RNA (SMIL_LNC011299)". Lineage: Eukaryota; Viridiplantae; Streptophyta; Magnoliopsida; Lamiales; Lamiaceae. The record is from RNAcentral.
CCACAAAAAUAAAAAUAUACUAAUGAUGGCUACUACUACCUAAAAUACCCUUUUAUAUUUAUCUUUUAAAAUCUAUAGAAAGACAAUUGAAAUUUAAAAAUAAAAAAAUUCAACAAAUCUAAAUUUAAUUUUUAUAAUAUUAGUUAAAAUCUGUAAAUAUAAAUCAAAACCCUAACAUCAAAAUUAAAAGUCUCUGCAUCCUUAAAACUCUGAUCGCCCCCAACCCUUCUCUACCCAGACGUCGUCGCCGGACAAGCGCCAUCGCCGAUUUGCCGCCUACAUCACCGCUGCUGCUGUUGCAACUCGUUUCAUUGUCGUUGCUGUGCUUCUUCAUCUCAUCAUCACAGUUUCGCCAAAUCGUGCCGUCGUCUAGAGCCACUAUACCCCAUCGCGAUGCGCCUCCGUCCAACGCGCUUGAAUCGUACCACCAUCAUUGUUGAUUUCCAUGCUACAAGUCUACAACCACCAAUUUUGGUCUUGGUAAGGUAACCACCAAAUAGUUGUCUUGCCAUUCUUCUUCUUCAUUUUGAUAUCAUUAUUUUCAUGGAAACUUAUAUAUAUAGAUUAAUGGUUAAUACAAUUCUUAACCAAUCUGUUUUCGUUGAAUACAAGCAACAAACAACAUAUGCUGGUGAAGAAGUGAAGUGUUGGAGAAGAAGAAGAAAAUUGAACAAAUUUGUUGAAGAAGUGCAUAAAAGAGUACUUUCAAAGAAGAAGAAAAUGAUCAAUGGAUAAAAGAAAAAGAGAUAGAGGAAUAAGAAAUUAAUCGAACAAAACAAAUAAGACGGAAGAAAGAACUCUCACAGUAAAAGAAGAAAGAAAAAGAAAAUAAGAAAAGAAUUUUAUUCAUACGAAAUUUUGUAUGUUUUUAAAUUAUUUUGAUAUAAAAUUUGAAAAUAAAUCAAAUGAGUGAAUAUUUUAAUUAAAAAAAAGGGUAAAGUUGUCUCUUUCAUAUAAAAUUGAUUAAUAUUAGUAUAUUUUUAUUUUUAUGAUUACUAUUAACGUUUUUGCAUUAUUUGAUUUUCGAAUAUCAACAUCAACUACAAAAAACUAUGACAACAAAAAUAAAACAAAAUUUAUUAAUAAAUUUGAAUUAUUAAAUUAUUCAAAUUAUUAAGAAACUAUUUGGCUUAAAAAUUUUAAAUAAAAAUUAUUAAUUAUACAUAUAAUUAUUUAUCUAUUAAAUUAAAAAUAUAUUUAAAAUAUUAAACACUAGCUCUUUAACAUGUCUAAAAGCAUUGCCUCAAUAUCAUUGAGAGUCUUGUGAUGGAGGAGUAGUUACUAAUUUUAUAGUCCAUUCGUCCCGUAAAAGUGUAUAACAUAUGGGAUUACUUGAAAAUUUUAAGAAAAAUAUUGAAAGAUAAUGUGUUGAGUGGAAAUGAGUAAUUGUGGUUGAGUUGAUUAUGUGGUUAUGUAGAAAUAUGUGAUUGUGAUAAAAAAAAAAGUAAGUUUAUUUCCCAAAAUAAAAAUGAUACUAUGAGACGAACGAAAGUAAAAAUAUGAUACACUUUUACAAAUCGAAAGGAGUAUAUAUUUAGAAUCCGUUUGAUAGACUAGAUAAACCCACGAUAGAAGAGCUAUUUGGGUUUAGCCAAUUACUAUAUCUAUUAAAGAUGCCUGUGUUAAAAAUGUUGUGUUGAAGAUAAAGUCGCCAAAUUCACCAAGUAUUUUACUAUUCUCUACCGAUAAUAAAUCACGCCUGCCCCUCUGAUUAUUAACGGGUCUUCCAACAGUAAUCAAACUAACAAAAGUCUUACACUAAAUUACCCUUAAAAUUGUUUACAACCAUCUUUUGCAGCGAUUCCGGUGGAGUGCCGCCGCCGCGUGUUUGUUGCAGGUGGUGUGGUGGUUAUGGCUGC